GAUGAACGCUGGCGGCGUGCCUAAUACAUGCAAGUCGAACGCGCAGCGAAAGGUGCUUGCACCUUUCAAGCGAGUGGCGAACGGGUGAGUAACACGUGAAUAACCUGCCUCAAGGCUGGGGAUAACAUUUGGAAACAAAUGCUAAUACCGAAUAAAACUUAGUAUCGCAUGAUACAAAGUUAAAAGGCGCUACGGCGUCACCUAAAGAUGGAUCCGCGGUGCAUUAUUUAGUUGGGGGGGUAAAGGCUUACCAAGACAAUGAUGCAUAGCCAAGUUGAGAGACUGAUCGGCCACAUUGGGACUGAAACACGGCCCAAACUCCUACGGGAGGCUGCAGUAGGGAAUCUUCCACAAUGGGCGCAAGCCUGAUGGAGCAACGCCGCGUGUGUGAUGAAGGCUUUCGGGUCGUAAAGCACUGUUGUAUGGAAAGAAAUGCUAGAAUAGGGAAUGAUUUUAGUUUGACGGUACCAUACCAAAAAGGGACGGCUAAAUACGUG
RNAcentral lists this ribosomal RNA (497 nucleotides) under uncultured bacterium. Its description in RNAcentral is "bacterial SSU rRNA". It matches the Rfam family "Bacterial small subunit ribosomal RNA", at positions 28 to 507 of the family's 1533-position model. The record is from RNAcentral.